GACGAACGCUGGCGGCGUGCUUAACACAUGCAAGUCGAACGGAAAGGCCCUGCUUUUGUGGGGUGCUCGAGUGGCGAACGGGUGAGUAACACGUGAGUAACCUGCCCUUGACUUUGGGAUAACUUCAGGAAACUGGGGCUAAUACCGGAUAGGAGCUCCUGCCGCAUGGUGGGGGUUGGAAAGUUUCGGCGGUUGGGGCUGGACUCGCGGCUUAUCAGCUUGUUGGUGGGGUAGUGGCUUACCAAGGCUUUGACGGGUAGCCGGCCUGAGAGGGUGACCGGCCACAUUGGGACUGAGAUACGGCCCAGACUCCUACGGGAGGCAGCAGUGGGGAAUAUUGCACAAUGGGCGGAAGCCUGUUGCAGCAACGCCGCGUGCGGGAUGACGGCCUUCGGGUUGUAAACCGCUUUCGCCUGUGACGAAGCGUGAGUGACGGUAAUGGGUAAAGAAGCACCGGCUAACUACGUG
RNAcentral lists this ribosomal RNA (468 nucleotides) under uncultured bacterium. RNAcentral describes it as "partial 16S ribosomal RNA". It matches the Rfam family "Bacterial small subunit ribosomal RNA", at positions 28 to 507 of the family's 1533-position model. The record is from RNAcentral.